GAGCGGGGGCGAGGCCGCCGCGUUAUCUGGGUCACCGGGGUUAGAAGGAGCGGCCGAUAGGACCGGGGGAGCUGCGCUCCGCUGCUGCGGAGAUAGAGCCGCGAUCCGGGCCGGGCGGGCACCGCGCGGUUGGGAGGGAGGAGGGAGGGAGGGAGAGAGGGAGGGAGGAGGAGGAGACGGCGGCUCGUUCCGGCUCCCGAGCCGAGCCCAGCCCUCCGAAGAUUUAACCCUUUGCCCGCAGAGCCUCGAGGUGGGCGAACACAAAGCACGUCGCGAAAGCCUCAGACCGAAAGGAUCCCGACCAUCACGGGAACGGCGCACGGCCAUAAGUCGGUAUCGCGCCGGCUGUGCCGUACGACCCCGGGACGGCGGCACACAGCAGAGGGGCCCGGCCCGGCCCGGCCCUGCCCCGUCCCUCGCCGCCGUGUGCCGCCGGGCACAUCGCUCCCACACAUGGUCCGCAUUUCGCACGGCAGCAGCGUGCUUCCUCCCGGCCUCACGUUGCCGCUCUCCGAACAGAGAGAGAGAGAGAGAGGGGAGAAAAAAAAAAAGAAACAACACCAGAGGUUUAGAGGAAGUUAAAAAUCAGGCGAGCUAAGAAAUGCUCCCCGUUACACACAUCCUGCUUGAAAGCGAAAGCCCGGCGUUCCGGCCCUGCUCCCCGGCACUGGCGCCGGCGUUGGACGCGGCGAGGUGACCGCUCCGUGCUUGGGGCUCGCCGCUGCACCCCGUCCCCCUGCACCCUCGCCCCGGGGCCGGGCGCUGGGAGAGCAUCGCCCCGCGUCCCCCCUUCCCUUCCCUUCCCUUCCCUUCCCUUCCCUUCCC
Long non-coding RNA from Gallus gallus (chicken), 825 nucleotides. Lineage: Eukaryota; Metazoa; Chordata; Aves; Galliformes; Phasianidae. The record is from Ensembl.